GGAGGUGUAGGCUAAUUGGUAAGUCAGCGGUUUUGAAAACCGCCGUCCGUGAGGACUUGGGAGUUCGAGUCUCUCCACCUCCG
This 83-nucleotide transfer RNA is filed under the name Fidelibacterota bacterium. RNAcentral's name for it is "tRNA-Ser". It matches the Rfam family "tRNA". From Rfam's summary of the family: Transfer RNA (tRNA) molecules are approximately 80 nucleotides in length. The record is from RNAcentral. Lineage: Bacteria; Pseudomonadati; Fidelibacterota.